UUGGGGAGUACGCCGGCAACGGUGAAACUCAAAGGAAUUGACGGGGGCCCGCACAAGCGGAGGAACAUGUGGUUUAAUUCGAUGAUACGCGAGGAACCUUACCCGGGCUCAAACGACGGAUGAAUGUUUCUGAAAGGAGGCAGCCCUUCGGGGCAUCCGUCGAGGUGCUGCAUGGUUGUCGUCAGCUCGUGCCGUGAGGUGUCGGCUUAAGUGCCAUAACGAGCGCAACCCCCAUCGCCAGUUACCAGCAAGUAAAGUUGGGGACUCUGGCGAGACUGCCGGCGCAAGCUGUGAGGAAGGCGGGGAUGACGUCAAAUCAGCACGGCCCUUACGUCCGGGGCGACACACGUGUUACAAUGGCAGGUACAGAGAGAUGCGAUGCGGCGACGCAGAGCGGAACUUCAAAGCCUGUCUCAGUUCGGAUUGGAGUCUGCAACCCGACUCCAUGAAGCUGGAUUCGCUAGUAAUCGCGCAUCAGCCACGGCGCGGUGAAUACGUUC
RNAcentral lists this ribosomal RNA (500 nucleotides) under uncultured bacterium. Its description in RNAcentral is "bacterial SSU rRNA". It matches the Rfam family "Bacterial small subunit ribosomal RNA", at positions 874 to 1373 of the family's 1533-position model. The record is from RNAcentral.